AGUGAACGCUGGCGGUAGGCCUAACACAUGCAAGUCGAACGGCAGCACAGUAAGAGCUUGCUCUUACGGGUGGCGAGUGGCGGACGGGUGAGGAAUACAUCGGAAUCUACUUUUUCGUGGGGGAUAACGUAGGGAAACUUACGCUAAUACCGCAUACGACCUACGGGUGAAAGCAGGGGAUCUUCGGACCUUGCGCGAUUGAAUGAGCCGAUGUCGGAUUAGCUAGUUGGCGGGGUAAAGGCCCACCAAGGCGACGAUCCGUAGCUGGUCUGAGAGGAUGAUCAGCCACACUGGAACUGAGACACGGUCCAGACUCCUACGGGAGGCAGCAGUGGGGAAUAUUGGACAAUGGGCGCGAGCCUGAUCCAGCCAUACCGCGUGGGUGAAGAAGGCCUUCGGGUUGUAAAGCCCUUUUGUUGGGAAAGAAAAGCAGCAGGUUAAUACCCCGCUGUUCUGACGGUACCAAAAGAAUAAGCACCGGCUAACUUCGUG
RNAcentral lists this ribosomal RNA (492 nucleotides) under uncultured bacterium. Its description in RNAcentral is "partial 16S ribosomal RNA". It matches the Rfam family "Bacterial small subunit ribosomal RNA", at positions 29 to 507 of the family's 1533-position model. The record is from RNAcentral.